RNAcentral lists this ribosomal RNA (650 nucleotides) under uncultured Actinomycetes bacterium. RNAcentral's name for it is "bacterial SSU rRNA". It matches the Rfam family "Bacterial small subunit ribosomal RNA", at positions 319 to 979 of the family's 1533-position model. Lineage: Bacteria; Bacillati; Actinomycetota; Actinomycetes. The record is from RNAcentral.
CUGAGACACGGCCCAGACUCCUACGGGAGGCAGCAGUGGGGAAUAUUGCACAAUGGGCGCAAGCCUGAUGCAGCAACGCCGCGUGAGGGACGACGGCCUUCGGGUUGUAAACCUCUUUUAGUAGGGAAGAAGCGAAAGUGACGGUACCUGCAGAAAAAGCACCGGCUAACUACGUGCCAGCAGCCGCGGUAAUACGUAGGGUGCAAGCGUUGUCCGGAAUUAUUGGGCGUAAAGAGCUCGUAGGCGGUCUGUCGCGUCUGCUGUGAAAACCCGAGGCUCAACCUCGGGCCUGCAGUGGGUACGGGCAGACUAGAGUGCGGUAGGGGAGAUUGGAAUUCCUGGUGUAGCGGUGGAAUGCGCAGAUAUCAGGAGGAACACCGAUGGCGAAGGCAGAUCUCUGGGCCGUAACUGACGCUGAGGAGCGAAAGCGUGGGGAGCGAACAGGAUUAGAUACCCUGGUAGUCCACGCCGUAAACGUUGGGCGCUAGAUGUGGGGACCAUUCCACGGUUUCCGUGUCGCAGCUAACGCAUUAAGCGCCCCGCCUGGGGAGUACGGCCGCAAGGCUAAAACUCAAAGGAAUUGACGGGGGCCCGCACAAGCGGCGGAGCAUGCGGAUUAAUUCGAUGCAACGCGAAGAACCUUACCAACA